CAGCAGCCGCGGUAAUGCGGAGGGUGCAAGCGUUAAUCAGAAUUACUGGGCGUAAAGCGUGCGUAGGCGGUUCGUUAAGUCUGUUGUGAAAGCCCCGGGCUCAACCUGGGAAUGGCAAUGGAUACUGGCGAGCUAGAGUGUGUCAGAGGAUGGUGGAAUUCCCGGUGUAGCGGUGAAAUGCGUAGAGAUCGAGAGGAACAUCAGUGGCGAAGGCGGCCAUCUGGGACAACACUGACGCUGAGGCACGAAAGCGUGGGGAGCAAACAGGAUUAGAUACCCCGGUAGUCCCUGUCUCUUAUAC
This 301-nucleotide ribosomal RNA is filed under the name uncultured bacterium. RNAcentral describes it as "partial 16S ribosomal RNA". It matches the Rfam family "Bacterial small subunit ribosomal RNA", at positions 509 to 807 of the family's 1533-position model. The record is from RNAcentral.